UCAGCCUGGAGGAGCAAUGUCACCACAAGGUUGCUCAAGGGGUUUGCACACAAGUGAAAGACUGUUCUUGCAUAACAAAAGUAAAGAACUACAGAUGCUGGGGCACAACAUGAAAUGUCAGGAGCUAUCGUCUGCACCGUUGACGGGGCCUAUAACCACAUGUGCAUGAACUGGGGGAAAGGUCACCCGAGCUCAGCCGCCACUCCAGUUCUCACCCAGGGGAAACAAUGACUAAGCCACCACCAGAUUCCAUUGUUGAAAUGCGCCACUGCUCGCGUCUUAUUCUUUUUGCAGGACCUGCUGUUACAUGCCACGUAUCUGGGGGAAAAAAGCCCCUUGCAAACAUGGAGAAGUGGCAGCAGAGGUGUAAUCACGGGAGAAGGGGGCGGUUGUCACCUGGCUUGCUAUGCCCUUGUUUACAGGAGCCAGGGGACUGACAACAUGCAGCUAUUGGACCCAGAAGAGCAUGGAAAAUUUCAACAG
Long non-coding RNA from Sardina pilchardus (European sardine), 483 nucleotides. RefSeq lists it as uncharacterized. The transcript has 3 exons. NCBI's taxonomy places the organism in Eukaryota, Metazoa, Chordata, Actinopteri, Clupeiformes, Clupeidae. The record is from RefSeq and is a predicted model, not a curated record.